CAUCCUGCUCACUUCCUCUCUUUUAUAUUUUCCUUCUCCCGACAGGAGCCCCGGAAUUUUAUUUCACGCAGUAUUCCCCAUGCUUGUUCUGGGAGUGUUAAAUCAUGUUCCCUCAAAAUAAGAGUUUCGUGUUCAGGUCUGAUGCCAACCGGCAGUCCUGGCAGCAGUGACCUGCAAUUCCACUGGAUGUGGCAGGCAGGAUCUGUUUCCCUGGCCAUUUUUUGGAGAAGGUCCAGCUGAGAGGCUCAGACAGCCAUAAUGGAUGGGAUCUUUUUAGAGGUACCGAGAAUGCCAUGGUUUCAACCCAAGAAGACAGCAGGGCCAUCAGCAGAAGUGAGACAAGGAGCUGGCUGGAAAGUGAAGAUCACGGGCAGAAGGCAGAGGCGUGGCAGGUGCCCUGAGUGGCAGAGGACUACGGAGGGCAAGACCCCGUAUGAGAGGUGUGGACUCGGCCAGCAAUGACGCAGGUCCUGGCAGGGGCCCACCUGCAUUCUCGUAAUAAUACUGAUGAUGAUGGCCUUGAUGACGGCGAUGAAAAUGAUGACGAUGAUGAUGGUGAUGAUGAUGGCGA
Long non-coding RNA from Nomascus leucogenys (northern white-cheeked gibbon), 571 nucleotides. RefSeq lists it as uncharacterized. The record is from RefSeq and is a predicted model, not a curated record. Lineage: Eukaryota; Metazoa; Chordata; Mammalia; Primates; Hylobatidae. The transcript is spliced from 3 exons.